GCUGGGUAUGGUGGUGCCCACCUGUAAUCCCAGCAGCUCAGAGGCUGAGGCAGGAGGACCACAGUUCAAAACCAGCCUCAGCAACUUAGCGAAGCCCUCAACUCAGAGAGACCCUGUCUCUA
This 122-nucleotide small RNA is filed under the name Marmota monax (woodchuck). Lineage: Eukaryota; Metazoa; Chordata; Mammalia; Rodentia; Sciuridae. The record is from RNAcentral.